CAGAGGUCCCAAGCGUUGUUCGGAUUCACUGGGCGUAAAGGGUGCGUAGGUGGUCGGGUAAGUCUGAUGUGAAAUCUCGCAGCUCAACUGCGAAACUGCAUUGGAUACUAUCCGGCUAGAGGAGUGGAGGGGGGACUGGAAUGCUCGGUGUAGCAGUGAAAUGCGUAGAUAUCGAGCGGAACACCAGUGGCGAAGGCGAGUCCCUGGACACUUCCUGACACUGAGGCACGAAAGCUAGGGGAGCAAACAGGAUUAGAUACCCUGGUAGUCCCAGCUGUAAACGGUGCUUAUUUGCUGUAAAAGGAAUCGACCCCUUUUGUGGCGUAGCUAACGCGUUAAAUAAGCCGCCUGGGAAGUACGGUCGCAAGAUUA
RNAcentral lists this ribosomal RNA (372 nucleotides) under uncultured organism. RNAcentral's name for it is "bacterial SSU rRNA". It matches the Rfam family "Bacterial small subunit ribosomal RNA", at positions 526 to 896 of the family's 1533-position model. The record is from RNAcentral.